GUUCAAGUCACUGUCAAUCUUAUUUGUCAAUGUAACCAUGACUGUGCCAUCCCUAGCUUGUCAGAUACUUGUCAGAUACUCACAGUUUUGCCCAAUAAACAAGAACCAAUAAAAAAUGGGAACCCAGUUGGGAAAUUUCUGGUCAUAUUUUUCCUCCCUAAUAGGACAAAGCUAUUCUUCCCACACACAUCUUUCAAUUGUAAGGCAACAAUGGGAAAGCAGAAAGCUCACAAACUUAGAAAGAUGAAUUAGAAGAAUCUGGAGUACCGAGGUUCUUUAUGACAUUUUUAAAAUUUGAAGUCAAUCAUAAGAUAAUAAGACAAAGCUAAAAAAAAUAUAAAAACCUUGGAUCUUGGAAUUGAGUUGUUAUUCCAAACAGACCCUAAAAUAAAGAAAUGAAGGAAGGAGGUAUAACAGGACAGUAAGAACUCAAAUAUUCCAGGCUGAUAAUAUCGGCAAAUAUUUCUUAAUUCUGUGUUUCAGGGAAGUCAUAGAGGAGAAAUUAAAAUAAAGAAGCUGGUGAUUGAAAGAAAAAUAUAGCUUUAUAAAAAGUGGCAUUCAAGCCAGGUGUGAUGGCACACACCUGUAUUCAUAGGAAGCCGAGGCAUAAAAAUCACAAAUUUGAGACCAGCCUGGGCAACUAAGUGAGAAUCCGUAUCAAAAUGAAAUUUCAGAUGGGACUGGGAAUAUAGCUUAGUGGUAGAGGGCUUGCAUAGCUUGUGCCAGGUCUUGAGUUUAAUCCCUAGUACUGAAAGAAAG
This 759-nucleotide long non-coding RNA is filed under the name Marmota monax (woodchuck). Lineage: Eukaryota; Metazoa; Chordata; Mammalia; Rodentia; Sciuridae. The record is from RNAcentral.